CGGCGGACGGGUGAGUAACGCGUGGGUAACCGUGCCUCAUACAGGGGGAUAACAGUUGGAAACGGCUGCUAAUACCGCAUAAGCGCACAGUACCGCAUGGUACCGUGUGAAAAACUCCGGUGGUAUGAGAUGGACCCGCGUCUGAUUAGCUAGUUGGUGGGGUAACGGCCUACCAAGGCGACGAUCAGUAGCCGGCCUGAGAGGGUGAACGGCCACAUUGGGACUGAGACACGGCCCAG
RNAcentral lists this ribosomal RNA (239 nucleotides) under uncultured bacterium. RNAcentral's name for it is "partial 16S ribosomal RNA". It matches the Rfam family "Bacterial small subunit ribosomal RNA", at positions 96 to 334 of the family's 1533-position model. The record is from RNAcentral.